Molecule: long non-coding RNA, 278 nt
Filed under: Malus domestica (apple)
Lineage: Eukaryota; Viridiplantae; Streptophyta; Magnoliopsida; Rosales; Rosaceae
Description: long non-coding RNA (MDOM_LNC004298)
Source: RNAcentral
AUGAUGCCAACACCGUUUCUUGUUCUAUUUGUGCUCGAAUACCAAAGUUUAAACCCUGAGUUUUCUAGAUCCUUUGCCUUAAGACCAACCCAUUUAGUUUCUUGUAGGCACAUAAUAUUUAUCCUUCUCCUCAUCAUAACUUCCACUACUUCCAUAGAUUUUCCCGUUAAGGUUCCUAUAUUCCACGUUCCUAAACGCAUUCUACUCUCUUGAACUCUACCCUUCUGUCCUAGCUUCUUCACCCUCCCUCGUCCAAUAGGAUCAAAGUACUUCUUUUG